UUUUAAAGGUCAGUAAAAUCUGUAGGUUUCUAUAAUGGACUAAAUGUGUGUGGAUAUGAAGGAGUCUCUGGGUGAGAGCAGAGGAAGGACAGUAAGGUCAGUCAGUAGAAGAGAGGUUUUGCAUGCUCACAGCUCCACACUCUUUAAGAGCGGUGAGUUCAUCACUGGAGACUUCAGUCCUUUCAGAGCCCCUCACAGCACAAUGAUGACCACUCUGAUCCUCCUGCUGACCACACUGGGCUUCUUUCCUCAAGUGUCCCACCAAGAGGUCCAGACUCCUGAGAGAAGUUCUGUUGAAGCAGGACAGUCCGUCACCUUCAGCUGUGUUGCGAGUGGUGGGAUUGGUUAUUCUAUGAGUUGGUACCAGCUGAAACCUGGAGCAGCUCCUAAACUGCUAAUUUACUAUACAAGUUAUAGGGAUUCUGGAGCUCCAGAGCGAUUCAGUGGAACAUACUCUGGAUACACCUUUACGAUGACCAUCAGUGGAGUCCGGCCUGAAGAUGCAGGAGAGUAUUACUGUAUGGGUGCUUACAGUAGUGUGUCCACACAGUGAAAAAGAGUCGUACAAAAACCUCCCUCAGUCAGACGCAGAGAAACUGCACUGCUGCAGCUGCAGCUACUGAACCACAGAGAAUUUAAUAUUAUAGUU
Colossoma macropomum (tambaqui) is the source of this 649-nucleotide non-coding RNA. Lineage: Eukaryota; Metazoa; Chordata; Actinopteri; Characiformes; Serrasalmidae. The record is from the annotation of a RefSeq genome assembly.